This 207-nucleotide ribosomal RNA is filed under the name Ixodes scapularis (black-legged tick). Its description in RNAcentral is "eukaryotic large subunit ribosomal RNA". It matches the Rfam family "Eukaryotic large subunit ribosomal RNA", at positions 2427 to 2618 of the family's 3401-position model. The record is from RNAcentral. Lineage: Eukaryota; Metazoa; Arthropoda; Arachnida; Ixodida; Ixodidae.
UCUAGUCUGACUGUGUGAAAAGACAUGAGAGGUGUAGCAUAAGUGGGAGGCCUUGAACCCUCGUGGUUGUGUCGUGCCGACAGUGAAAUACCACCACUUUCAUCGUAUCUUUACUUACUCGGUGAAACGAUAUAUUUUGUGUUUCGAAUUUUGUAUUUCGACAAAAAAGAAGCUUUUUAGCGGCUCUGACCAGUAGUAAGCCCAGGA